AGACCAUCAGGUAACAAGACACCAACAGUAGAACUCGUAACUACAAACACUAACAGCUGUAUGAAUGUUUUUCUUAAACGCAUUUCAAUUAACA
Thalassophryne amazonica is the source of this 94-nucleotide long non-coding RNA. RefSeq lists it as uncharacterized. NCBI's taxonomy places the organism in Eukaryota, Metazoa, Chordata, Actinopteri, Batrachoidiformes, Batrachoididae. The record is from RefSeq and is a predicted model, not a curated record. The transcript is spliced from 3 exons.